Molecule: long non-coding RNA, 655 nt
Filed under: Oryza brachyantha (malo sina)
Lineage: Eukaryota; Viridiplantae; Streptophyta; Magnoliopsida; Poales; Poaceae
Description: long non-coding RNA (OBRA_LNC001409)
Source: RNAcentral
UGGUAUGUAUUUUCUUCAUCUUCAAAUAUGUCAAACAUUCAUACACCAAUUCUAGUUUUCUGCCAUAUCUUUGCGCUGAAAUAAUUUAAUACAUAUACAUCCAUGACAUUAGGACGCCGUUCGAAGAGUCAUUAAUUACAGUAAACACUCCAACAAUAUGUACUCCUACAUAAUUGAUCAAGCAACAAAACCAGUCAUACUGGCAAACAUAAUGAAAAAGAAGACAAUGAGAUCACCAUAAACCAAAACAAAAAACAAAAAAACAAAAACAAAAAUAGACGAAACCGAAAGAAAAAGACGAGAGGGACAGCAUUGCACCUGGAAAAGAAGUAAGACGACAACUGAAGCAAUUAUAUCUAUUCAAAAAGCCAUUGUUCUACACAUUUUAGUUCAUAUAUAUAUUGAAUCGAUAACGACAUGUGAUGUGCAACUUUCGUGUAUGCUUGCAUCUCCUUCUGUUCAUGUAUGUACACCACAACAGUACAUCACAACCAGAGUAUUAAAUCAGUAAAGAAACGUAUACAGUACUGCUCAUUAUCAAUGAAGUCAAAGCAAAAGAAAAACAAACUUUUGUUUUUUCCCCUUUGCAGGGACAUCACAACAAAUACUUAUAUAAAAAAAUGUCAUUUUCUUCAUAUAUUAAACUGAAGACUCA